Beta vulgaris subsp. vulgaris (sugar beet) is the source of this 104-nucleotide small nucleolar RNA. The record is from Rfam. Lineage: Eukaryota; Viridiplantae; Streptophyta; Magnoliopsida; Caryophyllales; Amaranthaceae.
AAAAGCAAUGAUGAUAAAUGCUUGUUAUACCCAGCUCAUUAUGAGGUCUUCUUUUGUGGAGAUCAGGGAAUUGACUUACUUCCAACAUUUAUCUGAGUUUUCUU